AGAGUUUGAUCAUGGCUCAGCCUGAACGCUGGCGGCGUGGCUAAGACAUGCAAGUCGCACGGGCGUAGCAAUACGCCAGUGGCGAACGGGUGAGUAAUGAAUCGCUAAUGUACCCCGGACUUUGGGAUAGCUAUCCGAAAGGGUAGGUAAUACCAGAUGACAUCACCGCACGGCAUCGUGUGGUGCUCAAAGGUCCGCCGGUCCGGGAGCAGGCGAUUUCGUAUCAGCUAGUUGGUGAGGUAACGGCUCACCAAGGCGACGACGCGUAGCCGGACUGAGAGGUUGGCCGGCCACAUCGGGACUGAGACACUGCCCGGACUCCUACGGGGGGCUGCAGUAACGAAUCUUCCCCAAUGCACGCAAGUGUGAGGGAGCGACGCCGCGUGUGGGACGAAGUCCUUCGGGAUGUAAACCACUGUCAGGGGAUACCAAGUUCUGAGGAUCCCCAGAGGAAGGGGCGGCUAACUCUGUGCCAGCAGCCGCGGUAAGACAGAGGCCCCAAGCGUUAGGCGGAAUCACUGGGCUUAAAGCGUGUGUAGGCGGACGCCUAAGUGUCUUGUGAAAUCCCACGGCUCACCCGUGGAACUGCUGGGCAUACUGGGCGUCUUGGGCCAACUAGGGGCAGCCGGAACAAGCGGUGGAGCGGUGAAAUGCGUAGAUAUCGCUUGGAACGCCGAAGGUGAAAACAGGCUGCUGGGGUUGUGCCGACGCUGAGACACGAAAGCCAGGGGAGCAAACGGGAUUAGAUACCCUAGUAGUCC
Molecule: ribosomal RNA, 761 nt
Filed under: uncultured bacterium
Lineage: Bacteria
Description: bacterial SSU rRNA
Rfam family: Bacterial small subunit ribosomal RNA
Source: RNAcentral